This 193-nucleotide ribosomal RNA is filed under the name uncultured bacterium. Its description in RNAcentral is "partial 16S ribosomal RNA". It matches the Rfam family "Bacterial small subunit ribosomal RNA", at positions 254 to 446 of the family's 1533-position model. The record is from RNAcentral.
GAGGUGAUGGCUCGGCGUUGCGAACAUCAAUAUCCGGCCUGAGAGGGCGGACGGACACCCUGGGGCUGGCGCCCGGUGCAAACUCCUACGGGAGGGUGUCUCGGGGAAUUGUUCGGAAUGGGCGCCAGCCUGACGACGCACCGCCGCCCGCACGAGGAAGAUCUUCGGGUCGGAAACUCCUGUCCAACGGGAC